AACUUAACUAGACAAAUGAUUUGGUGACUUAUUCCUGCCUGCCAAAUAGCCUUUGAAUUGCAUCUUCAGCUAACUCCUUUAAGUGCUGCAAAUCUUUGCCUACUAUUAGAUAUAAGUUUUGAUAUGGGUGGCGUCCUACUUGUGUAAGCAAGUAGACCCACAAACUCAUAAGUAACACACCAUAGAGGAGAACAUGAACCAAGGCAAGUAGCACAAUUGCCAUAUAAUUCAAUAGUUGACGAAUAUUUCUAGAACAUGUUUUGUAAUUUGAGUUGGUGUGGGUUUUGAGUUCAUGUUCAAU
RNAcentral lists this unclassified non-coding RNA (301 nucleotides) under Hevea brasiliensis (rubber tree). The record is from RNAcentral. Lineage: Eukaryota; Viridiplantae; Streptophyta; Magnoliopsida; Malpighiales; Euphorbiaceae.